UACGGAGGGGGCUAGCGUUGUUCGGAAUUACUGGGCGUAAAGCGCACGUAGGCGGACUUGAAAGUCAGAGGUGAAAUCCCAGGGCUCAACCUUGGAACUGCCUUUGAAACUUCUGGUCUUGAGGUCGCGAGAGGUGAGUGGAAUUUCGAGUGUAGAGGUGAAAUUCGUAGAUAUUCGGAGGAAAACCAGUGGCGAAGGCGGCUCACUGGCUCGAUACUGACGCUGAGGUGCGAAAGCGUGGGGAGUAAACAGG
This 253-nucleotide ribosomal RNA is filed under the name uncultured bacterium. RNAcentral's name for it is "partial 16S ribosomal RNA". It matches the Rfam family "Bacterial small subunit ribosomal RNA", at positions 524 to 776 of the family's 1533-position model. The record is from RNAcentral.